Molecule: long non-coding RNA, 4880 nt
Filed under: Malus domestica (apple)
Lineage: Eukaryota; Viridiplantae; Streptophyta; Magnoliopsida; Rosales; Rosaceae
Description: long non-coding RNA (MDOM_LNC008597)
Source: RNAcentral
UAAUUUUUUUCUUAACGGGUCAAAACGGGUUACCCACGUGUUACCCGCAUGUAUACCCGUAAGAACUUGUUAUUAACGGGUCACCUGAUAAUGACCCGAUUAGUUAUCGUGUUGACCUGAAACUCGUUAUUUUCGUGUCAUGUCAGAAACUGCCGGGUCUAAUAGGCAAUAUCAUUCACCUGUAAGCAGUAUCAUUCGCCUGUGGGCCGGACAUUCGCCCGUAGGCAGGACAUAUGAGUAACCACUAAAUAAGCACAUAAAAACAUCGAACAUAAUCUUUCCAAAGUAUAAGUAUAUAUAUCUGAACGGAGCUCAGUAGCUCAAACAUCAUAUCUUAACUUAUGUUCAUAGUAUAUAAUCAUCCAUCAUAUACCACAAAGAACGUAAAGUCGAUAAAGCAUGAUAAUGCAUAAAACGUGAAACCAAUUUACUCAUAAACGUUUCAUAAAACAACCAUCAAAUCAUGCUUUUCAUGUAUGCAUUUCUAAUAGUAAAAUAUGCAUUUUAGAAGGGGUCCAUUCACCGAUACUUAAUCGUCGAAGAACCAUGCAAACAAGAGACGACGAAAAUGCCAUACAAAAUUGCACCUAAGCAUAUAAAGGUACCAAUUAAUAAAACUAUACUAAAACGGUUGAAUUUCGAGAAACAGACAUCAUAAACGAAUUCAAGACGUCGAAAAACAUAAGAGAGGACCUAGGGUACCCCCACGCACCGCCGCAUGCGCCGAUUUGGGGUCAUCGGAAAAGUCGCUGACGCAGAGCACAUUACCUUUAGUGAAGGCGCGUGUGCUCUAUGCGCAGGCCUAGGAGCGGACCCAUAUGCGGCCUGGGUUCUGGGCUGGGUUGGUGUUUGGGCUUGGGUUAUGUAGUUGGGCUUAGGUUGAGUGGGCUGAAGGCUUGGGUUGCAAAGAAUGUGUUUGGGCUUGGCCUAGUGGGCUGAAACUUUAGGUUGGGCUGGGUAGCUUGAGGUAAGAGUUUAUUUUCCUUUCAUUGUUUUCUAUCAUUUUAAGUUUAUAAGUAUUGCAACAAUGAUUGUAUAUUUAUAGUUCUUUUUUUUUUGUUGGAGUAUACUUAGAACUAAAAAUUAAGGUUAGCUCUAUACAAGGAUUACAUGCUAUUUAAAACAAGAUCAAUAUGUAUGUGUGUCCUGUUAACCACAUCCAUUGCAUCAUUUUAUAUAUAUCACUGUUCUAAAAAUCCCCGUCUAGGCGCUAGGCGGCUGGCCACCGCCCCGAUUAAUGCCUAGGCGUUUGAAAAUUAAGAAAUGGCACCUAGACUUGCUAAGGCACCCGCCAAGCCCGCCCAGACCAGCCUAGGCACCCGUCAAGCCUGCCCAGACGAGCCUAGGCACCUGCCUAGGUUGUGACUAACCUAGACAAAAAAUAGAUAACUUUCAUUUUGCAUUUUAUUUUUUUCAAUAAAUUGUAAGAGACUUGUUGAAUAGUUAAAUAAACACACAUUAUAUGCUUGUUUACCAUGUUUUCAUUAUGUUCCAAUACUCCAUAAUAUAUAUGUCAUUCUAUUCUGGUAUAAAUAGGCACUUAUUUACGCGAAAUAUAAUAGAUUUAUUUUAAUCUGCCUAGUCCACCUAGGCGCCUAGGUGUUAGGCCCCAACCCGAUGCCCGACUAGUGACUAGCUUCUUUUAGAACCUUGAUAUAUAUGUACAAGGGUAAUGCUAUACAAUCAAGUAAAGCUUUUGAGGAUACCUAGAUUGCAAAUAAUCGUCCAAGGAAAGUCUUCUACUCACUUGAAGCCUUUAUGUUCUUAUGGUGAUAGAACCCUUUUCUUAGAACGUUUUUUAUGUGAGCAAGGAAUUCCUACAUUUAUUGUGGCAAUGGCAGCCAAGUUCCAUCUAUCGUGGAAGUAUGGUUAUUGUCUCGUUGCACCAAAUCCUGGUUUAAAUGGAGUAGUGGAUUAGUGGCAAAACACCUUAAGUAAUUAUUUCAAAGCAUUCAGAAUGUGCUUCCACAAAAAUAGGAUGUUGACUUUUUCACGUAUUCAAACUCUAUAGAAUUAUAUUAUCAACAUGUAACCUCUCCUCUUUUAUCACAACUUGUUAAGUCCAAAUAGGAUUCUUACAUUCUCCCACAUGGACGAUAACUAAUUGUGGUUUGGAAGUUCCAUGUCUAAUAUGAAUUCAUUCCUUAGUGAUCACUUUGAGUUUUACGCAUCUAACAUCUUAUUUACAUUUACCAGUAAUCAUUUAAGGAUUGAACUUUAGGAAAUAAUACAUGUACUAAUACUAUAUUCACCCUGAAAUCACAAUCCUCAAAUUCAUACCGUAUAAUGCAAGUGUAAUAAAAUAUUUUUACAUAUUAAUAACAUAAUUUAAUUUGUAUUUCACUUCAUCUCUCCCAUUGAACAAUCCAACUAACCAUUGCCGAGCCUUUGUUUGGCUGCAAUGUUCUCAUAACACUUGAAUUAACAAGCUUCUUUAUCACUCAAGUUCCUAAGCAUUACUUCAACUUGUAUCAGCUCACUGCAAGCAUAUAUUUGUAUAUACAAACAACUGAAAGAAUCAUCAAGGUUGAAUUCAUGAGCAUGUCAAAUGAAAACCAUGAAGAACAAAACAUGAAUUCAUACUUAUUCAAAUAGGGAAAUUCACUCCCACAUAACAACAGAAUCAAAUGAGUCAAUGACUCCCAUAUUCAUGAUCUGAUCCUUGAACACUCCAGCAGCCAAGGGCUUUAUGAGAAGAUACUCCUGCCUUCACCUUUUCCUUUAUGGACAAAUAUUUCAUGUCCAUCUUUCGUACAUGUUUAUGUUACACCUUUGGGCAAGAAACAUAAACAACCAUCAUUUUGAAAAUAGAUUAUGUAACCUUAUUAUAUAACAGUCUUGUAAAAGAUUAAGAAAACAACCAAGAUUUCAAGUCUUUGAAUAAGAAAAUAGUCAACUUAAUUCUCUUAAAAAUGUUAUACCCUGAAAAAAAUCCCAAACCAUUCAUACAUUCCUCUCUUUGGAAAAGAAUAUUGACAUGUUACAAGUUUUAAAACCAUAAUUUACAUAAUCUAUAUGUACACAAGCAUGUACUACAAAAUCUCGCUCAUAAGUUUUUCCUGAAGAAGCAAAGGUUAGUGCAAAAAAUAUUAUCGCAAAAGACUUUAUUGUUAUGAUUGCAACCAUCUAAAAAAGCCAAGAAACAUUAGUAAGGUGAGCCCUAAACCCUAAUAAUUAUUUGGUCUAAACGAUUUAAGCAAUCUUUAACUCAAAAUUGCCUCAAACUGAAGCAGCCGUAAAACAAGUUCAUUUAAUCAUGCAUGUCUAUGUCUCACUUUUGAGCGAGACAUAAAAUGCCUUAAUUCUUUACUGUAUAGCCAUCACACAAUAGAUUAAGAUAGAACACAAUUCAUAGCAUAUAAAACAGUGCUACUGUUUAUGCCUUUAUCUAGUAUGCAUGCAUAAAACUUUAACAUUUCAAUUUGAUGGUAAGUAGGAGAAAUCAACCAAACAUCGUAUGAACAACCAAUUUCCUACACUAAUGGUAGAAUCUAAUUAUGGAUUAUUUUCACAUAUAUCAGGUUCCAACUUGCAACUUACCAUCUACUUCAAAAAAAACAUUCCUCAGUAGAAUCUAUAAACCUGUAUCAGAAUAGGAAGCAAAUACUACACCCAUCAAAAGGAAUAAAGUUAUUGAAAUAAAAAGCACUUAUGCUCUCAGAGAAGAAGUUGUUUAACUUAAUUUCAUCCCCACAAAAACAACCGAGAUGCACCACCAAAAAAUAUCAAUUAAGUCACUUUCUUUAACUAACAUUAAUUCUAAGUGUCCCCAUUUAUUAGCAUCCCCUCAACAAUAACCAUAUGAAAAAUUGGUAGAAAAAUAAAGAAUCAACUUUCCAAAAUGAUACAUACAUCGAUUCAAAUUGAAGCUAAUAAACAAAACCACAUCCAGAUAAAUCAUAAAAAGACAUUACUUACUUCCUGAGCCUGAGAUGCAACCUUCCCAGUUCCAGUGCCCCACACGAGCUCAAAGGCUAGACGACAUCAACUCGCCAUGCAGUCACUGAAGACGAUAACAUUUCAUGUCAGCUUAUUACAUUAACACUUGAUUGAAACACAGUACAAUACAACGCUUUUGAGCAAGAAGUAUUUUUUGCAAGAACAUACAAACAAUGCAAUUUUACCAAAUGGCUACUUAGUUUAACAUUAAACAGUUUCUUGAUCCAGGUGUUUGGACAAGAAUUAGAGCCUAUUUAACACUCUGCCAAAUACCAUGUCCUAAUUCAUUUGUCGAACCAUUAAAAGUAUUCCCCUUUUUUUAAGACACUUAAAAGAAUUAAUCCAAAUUAUAUCCUCCUGAGAAACAAGAGUAAUAGAAAAGAUAACAGAAAAAGAGGACAAGAAAUUCAGCAUAUUCCCAACUGUCUUAGUGAUGCGAGAAUUACUUGACACACAAAUUAAACCCUCUUUUUGACAAUUGUAGUAUAGAUGUAAGUAGGGUAUCGUUCUAGGCCGGGGAUUAGGAGGGAUUGCUAAUCUAUUCUAAAUUAAUUUAAAAAUAUUAAACAAGACUCAAGGACACAAAACUAGACUAAAAACUCUAAUAACUCGAAACACACUUAGAAUGACUCAAGAUAAUGAAAACAAUCAAAUUGGACACUAGGAACUGAAAUGGACGGAAAUUGAAUUAAAAGACUAACAACAAUGAAAACUAACUAAAUAAUAUAAUUUAAUAAUGGGGGGUUUGGUUUGGUUUUGACAAGAAGUAAAUUAAACUUGAAUAAAUUACAGAAUUGACAAAAACAUGAAAUUAAGGUGAAAUGAUAGGUGACGGACUAGCUAGAGGGUUCUUCUCCACACAUGUUAUACUUGCAUACAAAAUGAUUUCCAGUUGUUCUUUCAAUAAAUUGUAAAUCUCAACGCCCCAAAUUAACCGUGAA